Molecule: ribosomal RNA, 500 nt
Filed under: uncultured bacterium
Lineage: Bacteria
Description: partial 16S ribosomal RNA
Rfam family: Bacterial small subunit ribosomal RNA
Source: RNAcentral
AUUGAACGCUGGCGGCAGGCCUAACACAUGCAAGUCGAGCGGAUGAAGGUAGCUUGCUAUCUGAUUCAGCGGCGGACGGGUGAGUAAUGCCUAGGAAUCUGCCUGGUAGUGGGGGACAACGUUUCGAAAGGAACGCUAAUACCGCAUACGUCCUACGGGAGAAAGUGGGGGAUCUUCGGACCUCACGCUAUCAGAUGAGCCUAGGUACGAUUAGCUAGUUGGUGAGGUAAAGGCUCACCAAGGCGACGAUCGUUAACUGGUCUGAGAGGAUGAGCAGUCACACUGGAACUGAGACACGGUCCAGACUCCUACGGGAGGCAGCAGUGGGGAAUAUUGGACAAUGGGCGAAAGCCUGAUCCAGCCAUGCCGCGUGUGUGAAGAAGGUCUUCGGAUUGUAAAGCACUUUAAGUUGGGAGGAAGGGCAGUAAGUUAAUACCUUGCUGUUUUGACGUUACCGACAGAAUAAGCACCGGCUAACUUCGUGCCAGCCGCCGCCGUAA